RNAcentral lists this ribosomal RNA (440 nucleotides) under uncultured bacterium. RNAcentral's name for it is "partial 16S ribosomal RNA". It matches the Rfam family "Bacterial small subunit ribosomal RNA", at positions 338 to 795 of the family's 1533-position model. The record is from RNAcentral.
CCUACGGGUGGCAGCAGUAGGGAAUAUUGCUCAAUGGGGGAAACCCUGAAGCAGCAACGCCGCGUGGAGGAUGAAGGUUUUCGGAUUGUAAACUCCUUUUGUUAGAGAAGAUAAUGACGGUAGCUAACGAAUAAGCACCGGCUAACUCCGUGCCAGCAGCCGCGGUAAUACGGAGGGUGGAAGCGUUACUCGGAAUCACUGGGCGUAAAGAGAGCGUAGGCGGGAUAGCAAGUCAGAUGUGAAAGCCUAUGGCUUAACCAUAGAACUGCUUUUGAAACUGUUAUUCUAGAGUAUUGGAGGGGUAGGUGGAAUUCUUGGUGUAGGGGUAAAAUCCGUAGAGAUCAAGAGGAAUACUCAUUGCGAAGGCGACCUGCUAGAACAUAACUGACGCUGAUGCGCGAAAGCGUGGGGAGCAAACAGGAUUAGAUACCCCAGUAGUC